Molecule: ribosomal RNA, 501 nt
Filed under: uncultured bacterium
Lineage: Bacteria
Description: partial 16S ribosomal RNA
Rfam family: Bacterial small subunit ribosomal RNA
Source: RNAcentral
AUUGAACGCUGGCGGCAGGCUUAACACAUGCAAGUCGAGCGGAGAUGAGGUGCUUGCACCUUAUCUUAGCGGCGGACGGGUGAGUAAUGCUUAGGAACCUGCCUAUUAGUGGGGGACAACAUUCCGAAAGGAAUGCUAAUACCGCAUACGUCCUACGGGAGAAAGCAGGGGAUCUUCGGACCUUGCGCUAAUAGAUGAGCCUAAGUCGGAUUAGCUAGUUGGUGGGGUAAAGGCCUACCAAGGCGACGAUCUGUAGCGGUUCUGAGAGGAUGGUCCGCCACACUGGGACUGAGACACGGCCCAGACUCCUACGGGAGGCAGCAGUGGGGAAUAUUGGACAAUGGGGGGAACCCUGAUCCAGCCAUGCCGCGUGUGUGAAGAAGGCCUUAUGGUUGUAAAGCACUUUAAGCGAGGAGGAGGCUACUGAGACUAAUACUCUUGGAUAGUGGACGUUACUCGCAGAAUAAGCACCGACUAACUCUGUGCCAGCCGCCGCAGUAA